Molecule: long non-coding RNA, 2159 nt
Organism: Octopus bimaculoides (California two-spot octopus)
Lineage: Eukaryota; Metazoa; Mollusca; Cephalopoda; Octopoda; Octopodidae
Source: RefSeq, a predicted model, not a curated record
UUGGUUUACGUGUCAAUAGAAGCCAAUUUAUGUAAUUUACGCUACUGAUGCUCGAAAGAAAUAUACAUAAACGUUCCUUCACUCCGCUGUUCAUCUAUAAAUACUUCAAUUCUCAAUAGCAACAAGGUUACAUCAUACACUUUUCCUCUUUUGAGUUCAGACAAAAUAAAUCAGUCAGCAUGUGCACAUUAUUUAUUUAUUUACCAGUGUCAUCAGUUUAUGACUGAAUUUAUUCCACUUACGCACUGUUUAUACGAGAGCAAUGGACAUGUAAAGCCAAAUACUAUGAAGUGGUUUAAACUUGUUCUUAGGAGUAUAGUAUACAGAAAAUCGUGUACUAUUCACAACCCAACAUCUCUCCCAACGUACUGUCCACGAAAUACUUUUAACCUUAUAAGCUCCGCCUUCCUCAAAUUUUUCAGGCCUUGCUUCAAGGGGAAAAAACCCCCACUAGAUGGUCUCCAGUGCUAUGAAUAGUAUUAUGUUAAAAAGAAUCUACCGAGAAAAUUAACUACAUCAGUCGUAAGCUAAGAAGAGUAUAGAGAGUUGUAAAAACAAACACAGCAGUAGCAGUCAAAUGAUUUUAUAGUUGCGUCAGUGUGUGUUACUGAAAAGCAGCAUUCCAGCCGUAACAAUCUCGUGCUUUUUCCAGGCAUAGUGGUGGCGAUUCGGCCAGCCAACCAAAUACCGACAUGUAACGAUAAAUUGAAGAACUUGAACAUGCUCGGCCAGUACUUUAUAUCUUAUCAGUUCUGCAUUAUAUCAAUAACUCACUGCACUACAUGCAUAUAGUUACAUAUUGUCCUUGGCUAGGGUUGCCAGAUUAGAAAAUUAGAUAUACGGAAAAAAUUUCGCGUACGGGACACUCUAAAGUAUCUGUACAUAUAUAUAAAUGUAUGCAUGCCUACACACCUAGAACAAUAUAUUAUAUAAGAGACCUAAGUUAAAAACAUAAAGCACUUAUCUUAAUGGGUUAUGAGAAAAACGAAAGUAAAAUCAUUUCAAAAUUAUUGAAUACAAGCUAAAAAAAAAAAAUCAUUAACCAAAUUCUGUUCAAGUGAAAUAAUUUGAAAAAAAUUCUUUAAUACAGACAGCAGCAAAAUAAGCAAAAAAAUCCGUUAGAUCAAAAUCAUUGUAAAUUUUUUUAUUUAAUGACAAAUAGAGACAAUAUAGAAAAAAUAUUUUAGUCUGAAAGCAUUUGAAUAUCAUUAUUUAAUACAGGCACUAUAGAUAACUAAAAGAAAUACUGAGAAAGUGAAAUCAUUGCAAAAUUCUUAUACAAUAGAGACUGUAGUGGCUUCAUGCAGGCAUGGCGUGGAUUCGAUGCUCGAUUGCCAAAUUUCACUUUUCAACAGCACUUUUCUCAUGGCAGCAGUUACAUUUACCAGAUGUCUUCGCUAAGCAGAAUUAUGUCUUUGCCACUGACCCUUCUAAUCUCUUCUAUUUCACCAAAAGCUAAAAUAGACAUAACAGACCCCCAACGAAAUAUAUUGUUUUCAACAAUAUGUCUAUCCUUCUAGCUGGUUUUGGAUAGUCCCUGUCCGGAAAAAUAUAUUAUUUAAUUUUUAAUUGAUUUUGAUUUCAUUGUACUGUGUAAAUUCAUUCGAUUUCAUUAUAUUUGAUUUUUAUGCGAAUUAACUAAUGUAUAACCCCACUCCCUAAAUGUUUUUGUUUUGUCCUUGUGCUGUCCCCUCUUAUGUGAGCCACGUAUUGGCAAUAAAGAAAUUAGUUAUUGAGAGCAACAGUUAGUGAAAUAGUCAUGGCCACAAGCAGGCAGCCACUAAAAACAAACGGCCAGAAGGAAAAAGGUUACAAUCAGUCAACUACGAGACACAACGCCCGUCGACUCUAUAACUUUCACUAGCUCAAUUUCUUUUCUCUUACAUCAUUCUAUCACUAUCUAUGGUUUACUACUAUGAGAACUACUAUCGGCCGAAAUUAACUCAAUACCUCGCAUGCUUUUCCAUUUACUAAUACGUACCAACCCGUUGUGGUUUUGGAUAUAUACAAAGUAACGCUAGUUUCUCAAAAUGGUAAUGCACAAAAUGAGAAUGAAGAAGAAAAUCAGAAACAUGAACAGCAAGAAGCUUUGAGAAAAUGGAAGAAAGUAAUGAAAUGAUUUGGCUGUAAAAUGAUAUAAAUUUGUUUUAAAAACUUUA